AUGAACGCUAGCUACAGGCUUAACACAUGCAAGUCGAGGGGCAGCAUGGUCUUAGCUUGCUAAGGCCGAUGGCGACCGGCGCACGGGUGAGUAACGCGUAUCCAACCUGCCUUACACUCUUGGACAGCCUUCUGAAAGGGAGAUUAAUACAAGAUGUUAUCAUGAGUAAGCAUUUUCGCAUGAUUAAAGGUUUACCGGUGUAAGAUGGGGAUGCGUUCCAUUAGAUAGUAGGCGGGGUAACGGCCCACCUAGUCUUCGAUGGAUAGGGGUUCUGAGAGGAAGGUCCCCCACAUUGGAACUGAGACACGGUCCAAACUCCUACGGGAGGCAGCAGUGAGGAAUAUUGGUCAAUGGACGAGAGUCUGAACCAGCCAAGUAGCGUGAAGGAUGAAGGUUCUAUGGAUUGUAAACUUCUUUUAUACGGGAAUAAACGGAUCCACGUGUGGAUUUUUGCAUGUACCGUAUGAAUAAGGAUCGGCUAACUCCGUGCCAGCAGCCGCGGUAAUACGGAGGAUCCGAGCGUUAUCCGGAUUUAUUGGGUUUAAAGGGAGCGUAGAUGGGUUGUUAAGUCAGUUGUGAAAGUUUGCGGCUCAACCGUAAAAUUGCAAUUGAUACUGGCAGUCUUGAGUACAGUUGAGGUAGGCGGAAUUCGUGGUGUAGCGGUGAAAUGCUUAGAUAUCACGAAGAACUCCCGAUUGCGAAGGCAGCUUACUAACCUGUAACUGACAUUGAUGCUCGAAAGUGUGGGUAUCAAACAGGAUUAGAUACCCUGGUAGUCCACACGGUAAACGAUGAAUACUCGCUGUAGGCGAUAUACAGUCUGCGGCCAAGCGAAAGCAUUAAGUAUUCCACCUGGGGAGUACGCCGGCAACGGUGAAACUCAAAGGAAUUGACGGGGGCCCGCACAAGCGGAGGAACAUGUGGUUUAAUUCGAUGAUACGCGAGGAACCUUACCCGGGCUUAAAUUGCAACCGAAUAUGGCGGAAACGCUAUAGCUAGCAAUAGCGGUUGUGAAGGUGCUGCAUGGUUGUCGUCAGCUCGUGCCGUGAGGUGUCGGCUUAAGUGCCAUAACGAGCGCAACCCUUGCCGAUAGUUACUAACAGGUUAUGCUGAGGACUCUGUCGGGACUGCCAUCGUAAGAUGUGAGGAAGGUGGGGAUGACGUCAAAUCAGCACGGCCCUUACGUCCGGGGCUACACACGUGUUACAAUGGGGGGUACAGAGGGCUGCUACCACGCAAGUGGAUGCCAAUCCCAAAAACCUCUCUCAGUUCGGAUUGAAGUCUGCAACCCGACUUCAUGAAGCUGGAUUCGCUAGUAAUCGCGCAUCAGCCACGGCGCGGUGAAUACGUUCCCGGGCCUUGUACACACCGCCCGUCAAGCCAUGGGAGCCGGGGGUACCUGAAGUGCGUAACCGCAAGGAGCGCCCUAGGGUAAAACUGGUGACUGGGG
Molecule: ribosomal RNA, 1450 nt
Filed under: uncultured organism
Description: SSU rRNA
Rfam family: Bacterial small subunit ribosomal RNA
Source: RNAcentral